This 146-nucleotide microRNA precursor is filed under the name Spodoptera frugiperda (fall armyworm). Its description in RNAcentral is "microRNA sfr-mir-10454d precursor". The record is from miRBase by way of RNAcentral. Lineage: Eukaryota; Metazoa; Arthropoda; Insecta; Lepidoptera; Noctuidae.
UGCUAUUACAAUUGUGUCAGAAUGGUCGAUCAUUGAGCAGUGCAAGAGGGACAGAGCUAUGAAGGUUGUAUAGCUAUGAAGGUUGUAUAGCUUCAUCCCUCUUGCACUGCUCAGUGAUCGGCCAUUCUGACACAAUUGUAAUAGCA